GAUGAACGCUGGCGGCGUGCCUAAUACAUGCAAGUCGAGCGAACAGAUGAGGAGCUUGCUCCUCUGACGUUAGCGGCGGACGGGUGAGUAACACGUGGAUAACCUACCUAUAAGACUGGGAUAACUUCGGGAAACCGGAGCUAAUACCGGAUAAUAUAUUGAACCGCAUGGUUCAAUAGUGAAAGACGGUUUUGCUGUCACUUAUAGAUGGAUCCGCGCCGCAUUAGCUAGUUGGUAAGGUAACGGCUUACCAAGGCAACGAUGCGUAGCCGACCUGAGAGGGUGAUCGGCCACACUGGAACUGAGACACGGUCCAGACUCCUUCGGGAGGCAGCAGUAGGGAAUCUUCCGCAAUGGGCGAAAGCCUGACGGAGCAACGCCGCGUGAGUGAUGAAGGUCUUCGGAUCGUAAAACUCUGUUAUUAGGGAAGAACAAAUGUGUAAGUAACUAUGCACGUCUUGACGGUACCUAAUCAGAAAGCCACGGCUAACUACGUG
This 497-nucleotide ribosomal RNA is filed under the name uncultured bacterium. Its description in RNAcentral is "partial 16S ribosomal RNA". It matches the Rfam family "Bacterial small subunit ribosomal RNA", at positions 28 to 507 of the family's 1533-position model. The record is from RNAcentral.